ACUCAAAGGAAUAGACGGGGGCCCGCACAAGCAGUGGAGUAUGUGGUUUAAUUCGAAGCAACGCGAAGAACCUUACCGGGGCUUGACAUGGCAGCGACAGGCGUAGAGAUACGCUCUUCUUCGGACGCUGCACACAGGUGGUGCAUGGUUGUCGUCAGCUCGUGUCGUGAGAUGUUGGGUUAAGUCCCGCAACGAGCGCAACCCUUAUCAUUAGUUGCUACAUUUGGUUGAGCACUCUAAUGAGACUGCCGUUGGCAAAACGGAGGAAGGUGGGGAUGACGUCAAAUCAUCAUGCCCUUUAUGUCCCGGGCUACACACGUACUACAAUGGCAUUUAACAAUGGGUCGCGAAGCCGCGAGGCGGAGCCAAUCCCCAAAAAGUGCCUCAGUUCAGAUUGCAGGCUGCAACUCGCCUGCAUGAAGUCGGAAUUGCUAGUAAUCGUGAAUCAGCAUGUCACGGUGAAUACGUUCCCGGGCCUUGUACACACCGCCCGU
RNAcentral lists this ribosomal RNA (494 nucleotides) under uncultured bacterium. RNAcentral describes it as "bacterial SSU rRNA". It matches the Rfam family "Bacterial small subunit ribosomal RNA", at positions 899 to 1397 of the family's 1533-position model. The record is from RNAcentral.